AAAAAAAAAAAAGCUUCUGCGUUUCCCACCGAGAGAUUCCCGGUGCGCACCCAGCACCCAGCCAGUCACCCCAUAUCCAUUCUGGGAAGAGAGACAACCGGGAAGACAGGGAGACGGAGUGAGACAGGAGUCUGUCGUUGCUACUGCAUGCUGCAACCUCGAUAUUAUGAGUAGGGUAUUCCCAAACAGCUGGAAGGAGCUGAUAUAUGGUGCUGCGCCCUCGUGUCGGGCCCUCCCCAAAAUGGACCGGUGCUAAGUGGUAACCUGGUUAUUUUCAGCGCGUCACUGGCUCGUCUCCAGUUAAAGGUUUCCAUCGGGAAAGAGGAAGGGAGGGGGGGGGGCAGCGGCAAUGUGGCCCCAUAUUUCCAAUUAUUCUGAAAAAGGACUUAAAAACGACCAAGCGCACUACACAGAGUAAUGUCCGAGCAUGUGUGUUUGCCUGGAACUGCACACAUUCCUGCGGUGUGUUGGCUCGCCCGUCCACAUGCGGCACACACGCCCGUCCCGCGCUCAUCUGCGUCUCCGGCGGCUCGUCUGCGGCUCUCUCAAGGUGUUCCCCUCUUAUAUCGAUGCUGUUCAGGAGGCUAUGUACAUCCCAGGUUCAUCACACCUCUCAUGUUACCUCCCUGAGCAGCAACAUGUUAGUGUGCUGCGACCCCUGGUGGUAGCGACGCGCCAUGAGGCUUCGCUAUAUGCAUAUGUGUCAAACACAACUUUAUUUAUUUAUUUAUUUAUUUCACCUCACCGACUGUGGUCACGUGAAGCCACACAACAGGACGUAAUUACAGUGACCCAGCUUGAUGCUUUUGGACACAUUUAAUCAGUUGCUUUAUUACAAAUGUUAUGUUCAGUCAGCAAAAUAUCUGUUCUGUUUUAUUAAUAAGAUAGGCCUUUAUUAGUCCUUAACAUGGGGAAAUUCACAGUGUAAUGAGCUCCAUAACUUGACUGUUUUUCUACACUAUUCUAUCACAUUCUUCAUGUCGUUUUUGUAUUCUAUUAUGUUCUUCUUGCAGUGUGUCUUGUUCUGUUCCUUCUCCAAUUUAGCAUUUUUCCUGUUACAUUCUGUUCUGCUAUAUUGCAAUUUCUGCAAUUCUGUUUAUUCUAUUUUGGAUUCGUUUGGAAAAUAUUUGUAUUUUUUUUUUUUAUUGUGAUACAUUCUAUUCUAUUGUAUUCUAUUCUAUUCUGUUCACGAGGUCAUGCUCCACUUUUCGUGCCUAUGGUGACGCGCUCAUAUGGCAUCGGUCAGCUGCUUCACGUAGACAAGAAGCCCACAACAACACCGGAAACUGGGCGCUUUUCUUGUCAAAAUAAAAUAUUCCAGACGUUUGAAUCCACCCUCUUCGUCGAGAUAUAGAUACUGUCACACAGGAAAACAGUAUUGUCAACAGGCAAAAAUAAGAUAAUUAAUAAAUAAAUAAUAGACAAUAAAUCUUGAGUGUGUAACACAUAACCUAAUAAUAUUAUUAAUAAUCAUUUGAAUAGUGUAGAAUAGAAUAGAAGUGUAACUAUGUACGUGCUGUUGUAUUUCUUCCAUCCAUACCCCUUUAUGUUCGCUUUGUAGUUGAUGACGGUAUACAAUAUUUUUUUUUUUUUUUUUAAGGGUUUGACCGGAAGCGUUGGUUUGAUUCAGGCUGACUUGACACCAAGUAGCAAUGUCCGACUUUGUGCCUGUCAGGAACAGCCCGGUUUCUUCUAAACAUGAUAUUUCAUCACUCCAGCUACAGCAGGACGGAUGUUCAGCAUAAUCUGUAUCGCCACGUCAACAUCUGACACCAACUGUGCAGUGGGGCCAAUAAGCAGCGGCUGCGCCUGGCGCCCAGCUGCAGGCAGGCCCCUCCAUGGUCUCUCCCACUAUGAAAGCGUUGGUGGAUGCUAUAUGGGCGGUAUGGAGCAUCGGGGCCUCUAUUUAUGACUACAUCCACACCAACGCCAUGGAGGAGCGGAUCCACGCCCUGGAGAAUGUCAUCACCAUCCACCAGUGUGUGAUCGGACUGCUGUCCGCAGGCGUACUGGCCCUCUUCACCUACAUCGUCUUUAAGAAGCUCUGAAGAUGCGCGUGUGUGUGAAGGGGGGCGACAUGGUGAAGGUGGACUGACCAGAAUUAGACUUGGUGUCUAACACGGUAAAGCAAACGCUCAUCGGACAGUCAAAGAGGAAUUUUGAUACGUGCAGGCUGAUCAGAGGUGGAAGUUACAUUCAGCACAUACCUGGGCACACUGUCUUUAUUCAAGGUGGUAGGAAGAUGCAGCAGUUAAUUUCUCUCUUGUAGUGCCACAUUUUUCCAAAUUUUGGGCAAAUGCAUUGAAGUUCAUGUCCUCCAUUAUUAAUGUAGUGGCUGAGGAGGAGGUAAUCAUGUGGAGCCACAGGGUCCAGUUGUUUUUAAAGGUCUAGUUUAUCGAGAGUUUUUGUACUCAUUAUGACAGAUUUUAUGUGCCAGUAUUCGCUAUCUUUACAAAAAUAAUACCUUUAAUAUAAUGCCUAAUUGUAAAGUAUUUGCUGGCUAAAAUAUUCAUCGUUCCGCUCCUAAUGUUCUGUUCUUAACAUUUUAAUUAUAAAUUAAAAUACCCAGAGUAGGCACAAACACUACUUUACAUCGGCAGUAAAUAACUAACCAAUUUAAAAUCUUUUGAGUAGCCCACUUAGCUCUAUAUAUCAUCAAAUCAGGGACCUCAUUUAUAAAAUAAUUCUUGGAUUUAUACUUGAACAUGGAUCUAAGAUCAUUUCCAACGGUGUGCUUAUGUUCGACUCAUGUAACAUUGUUUAUGAAGCUCAUGCAAGUUCAUCCCAGGCUUGGACACCUGCGCAUCCCAACAGCAACACCCUGACACCCAGCAGCAGAAAAAUUGAUCGCUCAAGUCCAGACUUUGCUUAGACAAAAGAUUAUUUCCAUGUCAAAGGAAGGGUUUACAAAUACCUACAUGUACAUGGUCAAGUCCUAGAUUUCACUGACACAGGCAAACUUCAGCAGACAGCAUGUAUCCAGGCAUUGCCUUCACAACAUAAUUCGCUAAUUUUCUAAAGGAAUAAUUAUUGAAAACAACGAUGUGCCGUAACAACCUCUGCCUUAAAGCAAAUUGUUCUCACUCACUGAAAGCCUGACUGAGAUGUCAGGUGAGAGCUCAUUUCCUGAACUAGAGUCUGUGGAAAAGGUGACUGGAGAGCGCCGAGGUACUUUAAUAUCUCAGAGUGUCAUUUCUAUCAAUAGAUUAAAUUUAUAUCAUAUACAAAGUGGGUCCACGGUUCUCUUGGGAACAUGUCUUUCAGUGAAUAGAGGCGUUCGGAUAGUAAGAUGGUAACAUGUUUAAAUUUUCCACAAGACCUUUUCUAUAUCAGAUGAGAGAAAAGACAUCAUAAAAUCCCUUGUGAUACGGUUUUAUAGGUCUAUGUGUGUUAUCUGCAUUAUUAGACUUCAUGAUGCAUUACUGUAAUGCUUUUUGCCAUUCAUGUUUUAUAUACCUCAUGGCUGUUACAUGACUGGAGGUGCCACCAUUGUUAAAAAGAAAACAACAACAAAAAACAAUGAUUUCAAGUGUCCUUAAAAGAUGUAAAUAUAUUUAAAUGCUAGCUGGCCUUUAAAAUGUUUCACAGAUGUGCAACCAUCCCAUAAUACUGCUGCUGCCUAAAAUUUAUGGUUAUAUUUUUUUAAACAAAGGUGGGAAUAUAAUUGAUUCCUGGUACUGAAACAUUGGAUCAGCAUGUGAAAUGAGAAUUUCAGAAGAUAAAGGAUGUUUUUUUUUCUCAUAGUAACUUAAAUUUAUGUUUACAGAAGUGGUGGAUCAUUGAAAACUAUUGCCUGUAUGAGUCAUGAGUUUGAAAAGAGGGUGCAGUGUGUGUUUAUCCAUAUACAGUUGUUAUGUCACUGUCUCAGAGGGACCACAGCACCACAGAAUAACAGACUACUUUAAUCAUUAUAACAGCAUCAAAGUUUGUUUUCUCAACUAAAUUCCAAAUAAAUGUGGAAUUCAAUUCAACUGGACAUCCUCGCAAUUGUACAUGUGCCCAAAAUCAGUCUGGUAUCAAAUACAGCACAAACUGCCGUAAGUACAAAUGGAAAGAAGGUACAAGUUUUAAACAGCAGCUGUAAAUAAAAAAAAUUACUGCUUCUAAAGUUGCAUUGGCCAAACUGAAGAAAAUCUCUCCUCAAUACCACUGGAACCUUUUGAAGACGAAUCAACAGGAGUUUUACUGAUGAGCAACCAACUUCAGAAAUGACAACGGUACUUUUCCACUUGAAGGCCUCAUAAAUGAACACAGCACCAGACUCCCAUAGGAGACAAGAGGAACACCUCCUCAGAAAACAUGUGCUGCUUCUUCAGCUCAUAUAACUUCCACACAGUUGCUGAACAUUUGCUGAACCUCCAGGCCAUGAUCUAAGCUACCGGGGCCGCUUCAGGGCCACUCAUAAGUGUCCAGUCUGAAACAGGGUAUAUCGAGAAGUGAACCUCUCCACACUCUCCCCCUCCAGAAACUUCAUGGCUCUCCAGUGGAUCUUGCCACAGUUCUCCGGCUGCCCGAGAGGCCCCAGCUCCUCCUGGAUGUACUGCAGCCACAGAUCUUGAGGAAAAUGAGAAAAGCACAGCUAAACUUAAAGCUGGGAAUUGUGCAAGGAUGCUCAGUUUAAAUAAUAUGACGCUCGAAGAACAAGGGUUUUUCAACUUCCAACACCAAUUGACAGCUUUCUUUGAUGGCCUGGAAACCAGACUUGUUUGGGAGCAAGCCUCUGAUGAAGAAUGUAUUUUCACUUUGACCUUCAAGACAGAUCUGAGCUACAUCUGGUCAAAUAACUAGUAACGUAUUCAUCAUUGACAUGAAUUUAGUCCUUGAUACUUGAAUAACAGAAAUAAAUACUGUGAACUAACUCUA
Long non-coding RNA from Scatophagus argus, 4863 nucleotides. RefSeq lists it as uncharacterized. The record is from RefSeq and is a predicted model, not a curated record. The transcript is spliced from 2 exons. Lineage: Eukaryota; Metazoa; Chordata; Actinopteri; Scatophagidae.